GAUGAACGCUGGCGGCGUGCCUAAUACAUGCAAGUCGAGCGAACAGAUGAGGAGCUUGCUCCUCUGACGUUAGCGGCGGACGGGUGAGUAACACGUGGAUAACCUACCUAUAAGACUGGGAUAACUUCGGGAAACCGGAGCUAAUACCGGAUAAUAUAUUGAACCGCAUGGUUCAAUAGUGAAAGACGGUUUUGCUGUCACUUAUAGAUGGAUCCGCGCCGCAUUAGCUAGUUGGUAAGGUAACGGCUUACCAAGGCAACGAUGCGUAGCCGACCUGAGAGGGUGAUAGGCCACACUGGAACUGAGACACGGUCCAGACUCCUACGGGAGGCAGCAGUAGGGAAUCUGCCGCAAUGGGCGAAAGCCUGACGGAGCAACGCCGCGUGAGUGAUGAAGGUCUUCGGAUCGUAAAACUCUGUUAUUAGGGAAGAACAAAUGUGUAAGUAACUAUGCACGUCUUGACGGUACCUAAUCAGAAAGCCACGGCUAACUACGUG
RNAcentral lists this ribosomal RNA (497 nucleotides) under uncultured bacterium. RNAcentral's name for it is "partial 16S ribosomal RNA". It matches the Rfam family "Bacterial small subunit ribosomal RNA", at positions 28 to 507 of the family's 1533-position model. The record is from RNAcentral.